CCUACGGGGUGCAGCAGUGAGGAAUAUUGGUCAAUGGGCGAGAGCCUGAACCAGCCAAGUCGCGUGAGGGAGUACUGCCCUAUGGGUUGUAAACCUCUUUUGUCGGGGAGCAAAAGCCGGACGUGUCCGGCUGUGAGAGUACCCGAAGAAAAAGCAUCGGCUAACUCCGUGCCAGCAGCCGCGGUAAUACGGAGGAUGCGAGCGUUAUCCGGAUUUAUUGGGUUUAAAGGGUGCGCAGGCGGAUUUUUAAGUCAGCGGUAAAAUCGUGGGGCUCAACCCCAUCCAGCCGUUGAAACUGGGGAUCUAGAGUGUGCGAGAGGAAUGCGGAAUGCGUGGUGUAGCGGUGAAAUGCAUAGAUAUCACGCAGAACCCCGAUUGCGAAGGCAGCAUACCGGUGCACAACUGACGCUCAGGCACGAAAGCGUGGGUAUCGAACAGGAUUAGAUACCCGUGUAGUC
RNAcentral lists this ribosomal RNA (458 nucleotides) under uncultured bacterium. Its description in RNAcentral is "partial 16S ribosomal RNA". It matches the Rfam family "Bacterial small subunit ribosomal RNA", at positions 338 to 795 of the family's 1533-position model. The record is from RNAcentral.